Molecule: ribosomal RNA, 240 nt
Filed under: uncultured Geobacteraceae bacterium
Lineage: Bacteria; Pseudomonadati; Thermodesulfobacteriota; Desulfuromonadia; Geobacterales; Geobacteraceae
Description: partial 16S ribosomal RNA
Rfam family: Bacterial small subunit ribosomal RNA
Source: RNAcentral
CCUUAGAGUUUGAUCCUGGCUCAGAACGAACGCUGGCGGCGUGCUUAACACAUGCAAGUCGAACGGGAUCCAGAGCUUGCUCUGGUGAGAGUGGCGCACGGGUGAGUAACGCGUGGAUAACCUGCCCUGGUAUCUGGAAUAACAUCUCGAAAGGGGUGCUAAUACCGGAUAAGCCCACGGCUCCUUCGGGAGCUGCGGGAAAAGGUGGCCUCUAUUUAUAAGCUACCGUAUCAGGAUGGG